Molecule: long non-coding RNA, 1119 nt
Organism: Lepus europaeus (European hare)
Lineage: Eukaryota; Metazoa; Chordata; Mammalia; Lagomorpha; Leporidae
Exons: 3
Source: RefSeq, a predicted model, not a curated record
CCGGCAGGGGAGGUGGAGUUAAAUUCCUCAGAUCCGAUGUCAAGGCCCGAAAAUUAACACGCAUCUGCGUACUUGUCUUCCAUCAUCACAGCCGGCCUGCUGGGAAGCCCGAGUCGCUGUAAGUAUGGAAAUCCCGCGGCUGGAAGGCUCCCUCGGCGCAGCCCCAGGCUGCUGUCGGCAAAACUGUUAAAAAGACUCGGAAAGAAGAGACCUAGUUGUUCCUUCCGUUCCUGUCGUUCCGUCACUCGUCUGCAGGUGUAUUCGGACUGAAAAUGCAAGGGAUAAAGCCCAGAGUUCAAAAUGCUUCACUUCCCCAGAGAUGAGUCACCCUAAGGGUUCAGUGUAAAGUCACCUCUGUUUAUUUUAGUUGAGAUAUUUAAGACAAGUACAAGAAUUAUGAAGCUAAAAGGCAUAAAGCAAACCAGGUCUGCACGUCUUUAUAAAAAGAAACGAACCGCAGAGAAACGCUUACUUUGACAAUGUGUCUUGUGAUGAACCACACACAAGGUCAUUCAACUAAAGGACUUGCAGUGCGAUCCAAACAAGGCAGAUCAACAAAGACUGUUUGAUUUUAGGAAAUAAAUACUGACUAAAUAAGCAUACUAAUCAACAUUAACUGGAAAAGGAGCAGGGAGAACUGACCCUAAACAGCCAUUACAAAGGUCUUUCCUACAUCACAGAGAAGUCCAGAUAAAAGGAACUGACAAACUGACAACCACAUAGACUGGUGCAUUUUAAAAUGUUGUGAGCAAAAAAAAAAAAAAAAAAAAAAAAAAAAAAAAAAAAAGGUAUGAGUAUCACCUUAUCUAAUUUUUUGAACUGUAAUCUUAUCUUUGCAGUAAAUAGCAUCCAUUUAACUUAAUUACUGCUAGUUUCGAAAUGUUUUUGCAGAAGUGGAGUUGGUACAGAAAUAUGGAAGACUAGGAGAUAGGGUCAUACCUGUGUUCUAUGGAAAUAAUUUGAAUAUUUGUUUUUUAUGGAUUUUUAUUCACUUUUUGCACAUGCUACUAAAAGGGGCCUCAAUUGCUGAGCAAGCACGGUAGCUUGUACAAUGGCAAAGUGGGCCAAAAGCUUCUUGUUGUGACCUGUUUUUAAAAUACAGUAUCUCGAAACUGAAAA